GACGAACGCUGGCGGCGUGCUUAACACAUGCAAGUCGAACGAAGUGGCGAAAGGGUGAGUAACGCGUAAUCAACAUGACAUUCAGGGGGGAACAACAGUUGGAAACGACUGCUAAUACCGCAUAAUGAAGGAGGGGAUUGCGUCUGAUUAGCUAGGUGGAGGGGUAAAGGCCCCCCAAGGCGAUGAUCAGUAGCCGGUCUGAGAGGAUGAACGGCCACAUUGGGACUGAGACACGGCCCAGACUCCUACGGGAGGCAGCAGGGGGGAAUCUUCCGCAAUGGACGAAAGUCUGACGGAGCAACGCCGCGUGAGGGAUGACGGCCUUCGGGUUGUAAAGCUCUGUUAAUCGGGACGCGGUACCGGAAUAGAAAGCCACGGCUAACUCCGUGCCAGCAGCCGCGGUAAUAC
Molecule: ribosomal RNA, 408 nt
Filed under: uncultured bacterium
Lineage: Bacteria
Description: partial 16S ribosomal RNA
Rfam family: Bacterial small subunit ribosomal RNA
Source: RNAcentral